ACCAGGCGCUGUGGCGCGUGCCUGUAGUCCCAGCUACUCAGGAGGCUGAGGUGGGAGGAUCGCUUGAGCCCAGGAGUUCUGGGCUGUAGUGCGCUAUGCGGAUCGGGUGUCUGCACUAAGUUCAGCAUCAAUAUGGUGACCUCCCAGGAGCGGAGGGGACCACCAGUUGCCUAAGGAGGGGUGAACCGGCCCAGGUCGGAAACGGAGCAGGUCAAAACUCCCGUGCUGAUCAGUAGUGGGAUUGCACCUGUGAAUAGCCACUGCGCUCCAGCCUGGGCAACACAGCGAGACCCCAUCUCU
RNAcentral lists this signal recognition particle RNA (300 nucleotides) under Aotus nancymaae (Ma's night monkey). Its description in RNAcentral is "Metazoan signal recognition particle RNA (ENSANAG00000002035.1)". It matches the Rfam family "Metazoan signal recognition particle RNA". Rfam says of the family: The signal recognition particle (SRP) is a universally conserved ribonucleoprotein. It is involved in the co-translational targeting of proteins to membranes. Lineage: Eukaryota; Metazoa; Chordata; Mammalia; Primates; Aotidae. The record is from RNAcentral.